GCGUAGGCGGUACUGUUAGCGAGCCUGCGGUGCGCAGCCCUCCCGCUGCCGCCGCCCCGGGCAGCCCGCGCCGGGCAGUCGCGACCGAGCGGCGAGUCGCAAUUGGCGUCUGUGGCUUAGGCGAGAGCAGAGCGUAUCGCGUGUGCAGUGCAUCAGAAGAGAAUUUUAAAUAGAGUCAGCCAUUCAGAAGUUCCAUCAGGAAUCCUACUACAUACAAAUGAAGAACUAACCUCCAUUAUAUUCUUCAUGUGUUGUGUUUUUAUUUCAGACUUUGACUAAGCCAAAGGUACAGAAGCAUCAGGAAAAAUUUUAAAUAAAAAGCAAGACCAG
This 330-nucleotide long non-coding RNA is filed under the name Parus major (Great Tit). RNAcentral describes it as "lncRNA (ENSPMJG00000012660.1)". Lineage: Eukaryota; Metazoa; Chordata; Aves; Passeriformes; Paridae. The record is from RNAcentral.